Molecule: transfer RNA, 72 nt
Filed under: Camelus ferus (Wild Bactrian camel)
Lineage: Eukaryota; Metazoa; Chordata; Mammalia; Artiodactyla; Camelidae
Rfam family: tRNA
About the family: Transfer RNA (tRNA) molecules are approximately 80 nucleotides in length. Their secondary structure includes four short double-helical elements and three loops (D, anti-codon, and T loops).
Source: Rfam by way of RNAcentral
GAGGGUAUACCUCAGUGGCAGAGCACAUGCUUGGCAUGCACUAGGUCCUGGGUUCAAACCCCACUACCUCCA